Molecule: long non-coding RNA, 941 nt
Filed under: Rattus norvegicus (Norway rat)
Lineage: Eukaryota; Metazoa; Chordata; Mammalia; Rodentia; Muridae
Description: long non-coding RNA NONRATT005144
Source: RNAcentral
CAGAUCCCAGCAUGGUCAGCGCCUACAUGUACCCAGCAGGUGCCCCUGGGGCACAGGCAGCCCCUCAGGCCCAGGCCGGGCCCACCACCAACCCUGCCUACUCCUCGUACCAGCCUACUCCAACCCCAGGCUACCAGAAUGUGGCUUCUCAGGCCCCACAGAGCCUCCCAGCCAUCUCCCAGCCUCCACAGACCAGCAACAUUGGCUACAUGGGGAGCCAGCCAAUGUCCAUGGGCUACCAGCCAUACAACAUGCAGAAUCUCAUGACCACCCUUCCAGGCCAGGAUGCGUCUCUGCCAGCCCAGCAGCCCUACAUCACAGGGCAGCAGCCCAUGUACCAGCAGAUGGCACCCAGCACUGGCCCUCCCCAGCAGCAGCCCCCUGUGGCCCAACCGCCACCUACACAGGGACCGCCAGCACAGGGCAAUGAGACCCAGCUCAUCUCCUUCGACUGACCUUGAGUCUGGCGCUCACCAUCCAGAGUAACACUACAGUUCUCCAGAAACCACUUAUAUGUCUAACUAGCCAUUUCCUCCCAUUACUGCCCUGUAGUGUCCCUUCUGUGAGCAAGGGGUGGGCCUUCACCCUUGGCCCUCCUCCCUGUCCUCAGUGGUCUGGCUCCUGUCACUGGUUCCCUGCUUUGGUCCUGAUGCAGUCCAACCUUCCCGGGACUGGGACUCUGCAGGACAAGUAGGACCUUUUCUGGAGAAUGCCCAGCUGUGUCGGGGCCUGCCAGAGGUGACUGCUGUGGGGAUGGUUAGCCUGGCCCAGAGUCCGAUGUGAACUGUGUGGUGUCCAGGCAUGGCCCUGGUACCCAGAAGAACGAUGUGACCCAUGCACAGCAAGGGUAGAAGUUUCAGGCAUCUCUGUCUCCCCUACUCCUUGGAUGUCAUCUCUCCAGUGCAGAACAGUGAAAAUAAAAUGUAUUUCAAAAUUCUCAU